RNAcentral lists this non-coding RNA (46 nucleotides) under Trichobilharzia regenti. Lineage: Eukaryota; Metazoa; Platyhelminthes; Trematoda; Strigeidida; Schistosomatidae. The record is from RNAcentral.
AUCUAGCUGACGAGUCCCAGUCAGGGGACGAAAUGCGCAUCCUGGU